Molecule: long non-coding RNA, 623 nt
Organism: Frieseomelitta varia
Lineage: Eukaryota; Metazoa; Arthropoda; Insecta; Hymenoptera; Apidae
Exons: 4
Source: RefSeq, a predicted model, not a curated record
GUAGCGCCAACGGUGAUAUACGAAAUACACUUCCUACGAUUCUGGAAUAUAUCGAUAUUUCUCAUGAUCGAUUUUUAAGCAGCAAACAUGGCGGAAGGAAGCACACCUAGUCUGUUUGAGGAAAGUGUUGGUUAGACAAAUCAUUCAGAAAGAAGUAUCGUCCAGAAGUUCUCAGUUAACAUUUCGUGUGAAACGUGCGAUUGUAGCGCCAACGGUGAUAUACGAAAUACACUUCCUACGAUUCUGGAAUAUAUCGAUAUUUCUCAUGAUCGAUUUUUAAGCAGCAAACAUGGCGGAAGGAAGCACACCUAGUCUGUAAAGAGGAAAGUGUUGUCCAGAAAAAUCAUUCAGAAAGAAGUAUUAGUUAUGCCUGUUCGUUGAAGAUCAGCCCAAGCCCUACUCCUCAAUUGUGUGAUGAAACAUGUAGCGAAGAGUCAUUUGGUUCUCGAAUUUCGUGACAACAACACGCAUUACGUUGUUAUUUCUUGAUUGCAGGAUAGAACACAUAGACACACCGAUUAUAAAUGGCUCAUGUAAUAUUCUUUGACGGAAAUUUGGUAACAUUUCAUUUAUUUUAGAUAUACACGAUUGAUCCGUGAUUAAACGAUUCAAAGCAAGAUUUC